GAUGAACGCUGGCGGCGUGCCUAAUACAUGCAAGUCGAGCGAACGGACGAGAAGCUUGCUUCUCUGAUGUUAGCGGCGGACGGGUGAGUAACACGUGGAUAACCUACCUAUAAGACUGGGAUAACUUCGGGAAACCGUAGCUAAUACCGGAUAAUAUUUUGAACCGCAUGGUUCAAAAGUGAAAGACGGUCCUGCUGUCACUUAUAGAUGGAUCCGCGCUGCAUUAGCUAGUUGGUAAGGUAACGGCUUACCAAGGCAACGAUGCAUAGCCGACCUGAGAGGGUGAUCGGCCACACUGGAACUGAGGCACGGUCCAGACUCCUACGGGAGGCAGCAGUAGGGAAUCUUCCGCAAUGGGCGAAAGCCUGACGGAGCAACGCCGCGUGAGUGAUGAAGGUCUUCGGAUCGUAAAACUCUGUUAUUAGGGAAGAACAUAUGUGUAAGUAACUGUGCACAUCUUGACGGUACCUAAUCAGAAAGCCACGGCUAACUACGUG
Molecule: ribosomal RNA, 497 nt
Filed under: uncultured bacterium
Lineage: Bacteria
Description: partial 16S ribosomal RNA
Rfam family: Bacterial small subunit ribosomal RNA
Source: RNAcentral